RNAcentral lists this long non-coding RNA (1101 nucleotides) under Homo sapiens (human). RNAcentral describes it as "HSALNT0056429". Lineage: Eukaryota; Metazoa; Chordata; Mammalia; Primates; Hominidae. The record is from RNAcentral.
AGAAAAGGGACAAAACUGAGGUGUCAUUCCAGACAGUGUGAUAGGUAUGUCAACAAAUGAUAGGUAUGUCCAACAGACACAUCCAAAUACACGCUUCCUAAAAAUGGAUCAAUAUUUUUUUAUUCAAGAAAUCUCUGUGAGCUGCUUUCCAAAUUGGCAAAAUCAGUUAUUUUGAACGGGUAGAAAAUCUUCAAAUUUUGAGGGUAAAUUGGAAGUUGAAGAACAAUCAAGUCAUUCACAGCAGGGUCUGAUAAGUCAGGAGGAUGAAUGAAUGGAAAGAAUGCUGUUGGUGUCCAAAGGUAAACCUGGCUUGCUUCUGGCAGGUGUCAUCUAAGGCACAUACAAUGUGACAGCUUUGAAGGGCAGAGGGUCUUGACAUUGACUCUCCACAAUGAUAUGGAGAUCAGUGUGAGUGCCGGCAUGUUGACUCCUGGGAGACUACUAAGCAUUUGCCACCUCUUCCAAGGUGGAGGCCCACAAAAAGGCUACAGAGUCAUUCACAGGUGUUGGCAACUUCUAGCGUCAGUGCAGCUCUCCUUACCUGCACAGCUAGAGACACAGACAAUAUUGGCAAUACAGUAUUCUUGUGGGAUUUGUUUGCUUCCAGCAUAACAGAUGAAUUUUUCUCCAGCAAACACAACAAUUCAUUUUCAACAGGCACCAGUUCCUCCUAAAUAUGGAUGAUUCACCACGUCUCAGUGUGGGUUCCCCCAGGAGCAGAACUUAAGACAAAGAUUUCAGUGCACGUAGUUUAUUUGGGACUUGAUCCCAAGGAGACUGGAAGCAUUGGUCAAGGAGGGACAGAAUGGGACAGGGAACAGGGAGAAGACAAAAUAAGGAUGUGUUGCCAAGUGAGUUACACUGCAGAUGACUGGUGCUUACUCCCAUGACAGAACUCUGGGGAGCCACGUCGAACAUGGACCUCAGAGUUACACAGCCAGGGGACAACGGAACUGAGGCAUGCAUUCUCCAGUCCAGUCAGUAGUAGAAGGCUUUUCUGCGGUGGGGAAUGGAACCCAGGCCAAGUGGGUUCUAGCUGCAGAGAAGGGGAUACACAACCUUAGUGAGAUGCCAUCCGCCUCAGUGUGUGCCCUAAGAAAU